This 358-nucleotide ribosomal RNA is filed under the name uncultured Desulfobulbus sp. RNAcentral describes it as "bacterial SSU rRNA". It matches the Rfam family "Bacterial small subunit ribosomal RNA", at positions 1024 to 1382 of the family's 1533-position model. Lineage: Bacteria; Pseudomonadati; Thermodesulfobacteriota; Desulfobulbia; Desulfobulbales; Desulfobulbaceae. The record is from RNAcentral.
GAAUCUGGAGACAGGUGCUGCAUGGCUGUCGUCAGCUCGUGUCGUGAGAUGUUGGGUUAAGUCCCGCAACGAGCGCAACCCUUGCCUUUAGUUGCCAGCAGUUCGGCUGGGCACUCUAAAGGGACUGCCGGUGUUAAACCGGAGGAAGGUGGGGAUGACGUCAAGUCCUCAUGGCCUUUAUGACCAGGGCUACACACGUACUACAAUGGCCGAUACAAAGGGCAGCGACACUGCGAGGUGAAGCCAAUCCCGUAAAAUCGGUCUCAGUCCGGAUUGGAGUCUGCAACUCGACUCCAUGAAGUUGGAAUCGCUAGUAAUCGUGGAUCAGCAUGCCACGGUGAAUACGUUCCCGGGCCUU